CUUGAACGCUGGCUGCAGGCCUAACACAUGCACGUCGAACGAGUGGCGGACGGGUGAGUAAUGUCUGGGAAACUGCCUGAUGGAGGGGGAUCACUACUGGAAACGGUAGCUAAUACCGCAUACCAUCGGAUGUGCCCCGAUGGGAUUAGCUAGUAGGUGGGGUAAAGGCCCACCUAGGCGACGAUCCCUAGCUGGUCUGAGAGGAUGACCAGCAAAACUGGAACUGUGACACGGUCCAGAAUCCUACGGGAGGCAGCAGUGGGGAAUAUUGCACAAUGGGAGCAAGCCUGAUGCAGCCAUGCCGCGGGUAUGAAGAAGGCCUUAGGGUUGUAAAGUACUUUCAGCGGGGAGGCGUUACCCGCAGAAGAAGCACCGGCUAACUCCGUGCCAGCAGCCGCGGUAAUAC
This 406-nucleotide ribosomal RNA is filed under the name uncultured bacterium. RNAcentral describes it as "partial 16S ribosomal RNA". It matches the Rfam family "Bacterial small subunit ribosomal RNA", at positions 30 to 526 of the family's 1533-position model. The record is from RNAcentral.